This 253-nucleotide ribosomal RNA is filed under the name uncultured bacterium. RNAcentral describes it as "partial 16S ribosomal RNA". It matches the Rfam family "Bacterial small subunit ribosomal RNA", at positions 524 to 776 of the family's 1533-position model. The record is from RNAcentral.
UACAGAGAGUGCGAGCGUUAAUCGGAAUUACUGGACGUAAAGCGCACGUAGGUGGCGACGUAAGUCGGGUGUGAAAGCCCCGGGCUCAACCUGGGAAUUGCAUUCGAGACUGCAUUGCUGGAGUACGGAAGAGGAGGGCGGAAUUCCCGGUGUAGCGGUGAAAUGCGUAGAUAUCGGGAGGAACAUCAGUGGCGAAGGCGGCCCUCUGGUCCAGUACUGACACUCAAGUGCGAAAGCGUGGGGAGCAAACAGG